AGCAUGAACUUUUUGAUGUACAAUGAAUGUAUGAAGAAAAGAAUGUUAAUGGAAUUAGUUUUUACUGCUAAAGAUUUAGGAAGAGUUUUACAUGGAGAGAUUUCUGCGACACUAUACGAAGAAUUGAAUUGAACUGAAUCUUCAGUGAUAUUCCACACAUCAGUGAGAAGAAACUCAGCAAAGAACAGCUGAUGCACUGCAAUACGAAUGUUAAAUGAAUUCCUGUUUUAAUUUUAAAUG
RNAcentral lists this long non-coding RNA (240 nucleotides) under Homo sapiens (human). Its description in RNAcentral is "HSALNT0207752". Lineage: Eukaryota; Metazoa; Chordata; Mammalia; Primates; Hominidae. The record is from RNAcentral.